Molecule: long non-coding RNA, 2735 nt
Organism: Anas platyrhynchos (mallard)
Lineage: Eukaryota; Metazoa; Chordata; Aves; Anseriformes; Anatidae
Source: RefSeq, a predicted model, not a curated record
GUGGGAUGGGGACAGGGACAGGAACGGGGGGGGUGAGGUGGGGAUGGGAUGGGGACAGAACAGGACAGGGACAGGGACGGGGAUGCUGAUCUCAACCACCAGGUGCUGGCACCGUCUGGUGGGCACAGACAGGAGGGGAGCUACGCGGCCGCCCCACAGGUGCCGUGUCCAAGGCGGGGGCUCCAGCGCUGCCAGCGGGUCCCCAGCACACCCUGACCCCCACGGGGGCACGCGGGGACACCUCUCACCCUCACUCUCGUGAAGAUAACGGCCCAGGAUUAAAAACCAAACAGCCCCAGAGCACCCCUCAUCUUGUGUCUGAGAAAACUUCCUUCCCCAGGCACAAGCAGAAAAGAUUUUUACAAAACUCCCGAAAGUUCAGCGGAAAGCUAAAAAAGAAGCCAACGUCCACCAAAAAGAACUGGAGGAGGUGUCGAGGCGAAGCCCUUGUGGCCCUCCCAGCGCUGCAGGCCCACCCGGCUCCCUGGUGCACCCCGUGAAUCGCAGCCCCGGCAGGACGGGAGCCGGCCGAGAGGCUGCAGACAAAGGGAGGCAGCGGAGCUGCAGCGUGCUGGGGGAAGCGCCCGCAGCCAGCCCACAGCUUGAUGAAGAUGGAUGGGAGCAGGGCAGAGGCUGCGGCCUCCCCCCGGCCCCACGGCACGCAGGUGGGGAAGCAGCAGCAGGUGCCAAAGCGGAGCUUGGUGGGACACAAGCAGCGAGGAGGAAGCCGCAGCUAUGGAGGCUGCACGUGUGGAGAGCGGGACAAGGACAAAGACAUGCCGGACAAAAAAGCAGCAGCAGUAGAAAGGGGGUGAUGAUAUUUUUGGUAUUUUCCAUUGAAUGCUGAGUUUGGAAACAAUUGUCUCACCAGCUUUGCUCACACCCCACCAUUUCCCCUCCCCAUUUUGAACAAGGCGAACAAACAAUUGCUUUAAAAAUUGAGCCAGGAAUUUAAAUGAAUUCCUACAUACUAACGUUUCCUACCCAGAGCUGGGUUCAGAAGCCAGGUUUUUUUGAUCUUUAUUGUAGAAAAAAAGAAAUUCCCAACUCCUCUUCAGAAAGAAAGAGGAGUCAGGAAUGAGGGGCCUACAGGAGCUCCCCACGACUUGAAGAGGUUGAAACCAGAGAGGCUGCAGAGGAGAGGCAGCAGCGAGGCAGAGGACAGGAGGGACGGAGCUCUCACCCCUUCCAGAGGGGUGCGUACACCCGGCCAUUGCUUUUCUGCCUCAUGGUGCUCAAAGUACUCAGACCCUAAGGAUCUCUGCUGCCACAGCACCCUGGGGUCACAACUGCGGGUAGCUUUAGGAGGAGGAGGACUCUUCCUCCUGCAGUCCUGAACCAUUUCUAAGAGGUCCAUGAAACACAAACAAGGCUCUUUGCAUCAAUCUUCAACCCCCGCCACAGGGCUGGGAUGGGAAUGUUGGAAACCACAGCGCUUUGCCAAUAAUUUCUGUGCAUUUGCACAAGAGCACGGCUCUCACAACAUCAGGGUGCCACCCUAGGGUGCCACCCUCCUGCGGCCCAGCCAGAGAUGCCUCACAGGACUUGGUAGUUUCUCCCUACAGGAGCUGCACGUGCUCAGCCCUAGCACCCAGAAGCAGCAGCAGCCCCCAGGGCCUUGCCCGACUCCAUCCUGUGCCCUCCAAGCCCUCAGGAACCCCUCCCCGGGGCAGCGUGCCGCCUGCUCCUUGCUUUGCAAAGGGGCCACCACAGAGAGCUAGAGGCACUGAAGGAGCAGCCAGCUGCUGGCAAAUAUAAGUUAGGUGAGCCAGCUUGGCAGCCAGGCUCGAGGCCCUGCCCAUCAGGAACGUUUCUCAUGCCAGGCACAGACCACCAGGCAAAGGGGACAGUCCUAAGUAAUAAAAGCUGGGCAGAAGCCUGGGUUGAGCAGGGGCCGAACAAGGAGCCUUGUGUAUGAGACAGGUCGUGCCUCAGGCUGCUGGCAGGGACAACAUCUAGACAACACCUACAUGCUUCAGACAUGGUAUCACCAAGCUCCGUGGGGGUGGGGAGGAGCCUUCCUUUCCGUUUUGAGUAAGAUUCUUCCCAAUGACUGUUCAGGAGAGGGCACAGGCUGGCAGUGUCCAGCCCUAGCAGCCGGACCUCGGCUGUUCCACCUCCAUCCUCCUGAAGGAUGAGCCCCCUCUCCCCUUCCUCCCCAGCACUCCACCUCCUCCUGACCUGAACUCUGCUGAGUAAGAGCCAUGGACCAGCUCGGCAAGCUGCAGCUUCAGGGCACGGUGCUGGGGAACUUCACGCUGCUGCAGGGCAGUGGGGGCUCGCUCCAGAGCUGAGCCCACGCGGAGCCAAGCCCCCUCUGCCUGCUGGAGCCGGGUGCGCAGCACAGCACCCAGGCUGUUUUCCCAGAGCUGCCUUGGCAGAAGUCACCACCUGCCCGGUGAGAGCAAAAAGCUUGCUUCAUUUUGUAAGAAAUCAGCAAGGUGCAUUCCUGGAUUUGGCAUGAACAGGCAGAUGGGUAAGCAUCAGAAAUGGAUGAAAGAGCACAGCAGUUCUCUUCGAAUAAUUUAUUAAAUACAGCAUUAAAAUUUGUGUUUAUGAAUUCAAUCAUUAAAAACAAAACUUUAUCUCAUAUAUAUAUAUAUUUAGGGACAAUGACAAUCAUUCUUUCAACAUUGGUGCAUGUUGUGCCAGCACUGCUCAGAACGGCACCUUCUCUACACUAUCCUUAAAGCAGUUCAACACUUUUAAAAUAAAAUAAAACGAAAUAAAAAGCA